RNAcentral lists this ribosomal RNA (409 nucleotides) under uncultured bacterium. Its description in RNAcentral is "bacterial SSU rRNA". It matches the Rfam family "Bacterial small subunit ribosomal RNA", at positions 29 to 404 of the family's 1533-position model. The record is from RNAcentral.
AACGAACGCUGGCGGCGUGGCUAAGACAUGCAAGUCGAACGGUAGGUUAUAGCAAUAUGGCCUAUAGUGGCGGACGGGUGAGUAAUAAAUAGGUAACGUACCCUGGGCACGGGGAUAGCGUCGUCCCGAGCAAUCGGGGCUUUGCGAAAGUGACGGUAAUACCCGGUAAUGUCUUCGAGUGGCAUCACUCGAAGACCAGAGGUGGGGACCUUCGGGCCUAUCGGCCUGGGAGCGGCCUAUUCCUANCAGCUAGUUGGUGAGGUAACGGCUCACCAAGGCUUCGACGGGUAACCGGACUGAGAGGUCGGCCGGUCACAUCGGGACUGAGACACUGCCCGGACAUCUACGGAUGGCUGCAGUAACGAAUAUUCCGCAAUGGGCGCAAGCCUGACGGAGCGACGCCGCGCGG